This 465-nucleotide ribosomal RNA is filed under the name uncultured Klebsiella sp. RNAcentral describes it as "bacterial SSU rRNA". It matches the Rfam family "Bacterial small subunit ribosomal RNA", at positions 338 to 795 of the family's 1533-position model. The record is from RNAcentral. Lineage: Bacteria; Pseudomonadati; Pseudomonadota; Gammaproteobacteria; Enterobacterales; Enterobacteriaceae.
CCUACGGGCGGCUGCAGUGGGGAAUAUUGCACAAUGGGCGCAAGCCUGAUGCAGCCAUGCCGCGUGUGUGAAGAAGGCCUUCGGGUUGUAAAGCACUUUCAGCGGGGAGGAAGGCGGUGAGGUUAAUAACCUCAUCGAUUGACGUUACCCGCAGAAGAAGCACCGGCUAACUCCGUGCCAGCAGCCGCGGUAAUACGGAGGGUGCAAGCGUUAAUCGGAAUUACUGGGCGUAAAGCGCACGCAGGCGGCCUGUCAAGUCGGAUGUGAAAUCCCCGGGCUCAACCUGGGAACUGCAUUCGAAACUGGCAGGCUAGAGUCUUGUAGAGGGGGGUAGAAUUCCAGGUGUAGCGGUGAAAUGCGUAGAGAUCUGGAGGAAUACCGGUGGCGAAGGCGGCCCCCUGGACAAAGACUGACGCUCAGGUGCGAAAGCGUGGGGAGCAAACAGGAUUAGAUACCCUUGUAGUC